UCCUGUGGAAGAAAGGGGGGGGUUACCAUGGAUACGCAUUAAAGCCCAUGACGCUGAACUCACAGGAAGUCCUUUAAGCUGCAUGUGUCUGACUGCUUCCAGGUGGUUCCUCCUCUCAGCGGUCAGUGGUGGUGUACCACAGGGCUCUGUGCUCGGGCCGCUCAGCUUUUUCUGCAGACUUUUACGGAACAACAUGCUAGAACCGAACGGACUCGACACGUCUGUAAAAAUGUGACAUGAAAGCGGUCUGUGGCCUGAGGCCGCCGGUUGGCGUGUAAACGCCAGAGAAUGGCGUUAACAGAGAGGCUGAAAACAUCAAAGCUCUGCUAGCAUCAGUGUUUUAUUUGGACGUCAGAAAGGAUUUUUAACGUCGCGUUUUUCUACAGCUAGUAGUGCAGAGGUUGACAGAAAGGUCAUUUUAACAGAAUUCUCCUCAUUUGAACAGUUUUCCACUUUUAUUCAGUAAUGAAGUUACAUUUCAAACAGUCUAUAUCAGCAACAUCAACGUUUUAAGCUUUAAAAUGUUUUAUAAAGUCUAUUCCUCACCAAAUAUCCCUAUAGCCGUAUUUUGGAUCCAUUUCUGAGGAUUCCUCUACAAACCUGCUCUCUGAGCACCAGCCCCUCCCAAUCCACCAAAAUGAGUGGAUCCUCACAUUGUGACAUCACAAAGUGAGGAACCGCCCCUUCCAGGAAGUCUUUGCAUCCAGCCCCGCCCCCAGGCUAACAGACACGCCCACUUUCUCUGUGGAGCUAGCGGUGAUCGGAUAAACGCUUUAAUUUAUAUCCACUUUAUGAACAUCCACCUUUGUGAAAGCUCGGAUGUUUGUUUGGGAGAAACGAAGCCAACUAUAGGAUGACAUCAUGAAAUGGGCGGGACCCACAUGGAGCGAAAGGCGGAGCCUCAAAAAUCAAGUAGUCUUACUUCCGGGUAGGAAAAGAGUUCAUGGAAAUAACUCAUAUUUAAUUAAUAAUGCGUUCUUUAGUGUGCUAAAGGUCAUAGAUGAGUCUAUAGUUUAACCUGAAAGGCUUAAGAUAAGCAGGAUACAGACCUUUAUCCAUAUUCUGUGCUGUUCUUUCCUCGGUUUCAUAGAUUAGAUUUUUAGAAUCUAUUUAAUGGUAAGUUGUUGACAUUUUGAAUUACCAGCAUUUGAUUCUGAAAUAUCUUUGUGUAUUCAGACCAAACGGUUGGAAUUUGAGGACUUUCCUUUUCCAGGUUUAGUGAAAAGUUGUUUUAUUGACAGUGAAACUUUGUCUGAAAAGCUUGUUUCGAUAAAGUUUUACAGAUUUCAGAUGCAGAGUGACCACGGCGUUCUUGGGGGUGGAGUCACAGGGAUGAGGCGUCAGUCUUCAGCUGCCAUUGUUCCUGUUCUCCAUCAUUCUUGUUCAGCCGUUGUUUUUAAACAGAGUUUCGUCCUCAUCUGUUGAAACGCUAACCGUCAUGCUGGACCGAGGUGGCUGCUGGAGAAGCUGUUCAUAGAUCCAAACAGCGGUUCUGCUGCUCUCAGGCCGCCGUCCGUGUUCACCCGGCGUAGGGACUCGGCGAGCUCCUCUGGAUCAACGGCACCGUGGCAGCUCUACCGGCCAACGGCGUGCACGCCAUCAACAGACAGAAACCAACAGGAACAGACUUCAAAGGCACAGAGAACGACCGUUCAUCCAGUCAGCAUCAGAACCGCCUCCUCCUGAUCAAAUGGUUUCAUUUUUGCUCCAAACAGAGAAUUCACCCACAGACGUUUGGACAAGAGGUCAACCGGACGUCUGUUUCAGCUUAGAUUCCACUUUGCAGUCGAAUAAAAGCCUCAUGAUGAACAUGA
Molecule: long non-coding RNA, 1814 nt
Organism: Oryzias latipes (Japanese medaka)
Lineage: Eukaryota; Metazoa; Chordata; Actinopteri; Beloniformes; Adrianichthyidae
Source: RefSeq, a predicted model, not a curated record